CUUACUUUGUAUGUACCACGAGUUAGUGCACAGUUAGAAUUAUAAUGUAAAUUUGGUUAUGUAUAAGGUACAUGUUUCCCAACUAAAUGGAUGUGGAGGGCAACCUCAUUGAGGUCUUGAUCUGAACUUCCCUGACCCUAAUGAUACUGAGCAAGAAUUCAUAAGUUGAUUGGCUUCUUGCACUUCCUCUUCUCAGAAAUAUCUGUUCAUGUCUUUUGCCCAUUUUUCUACUUUCUUUUCUUAUUGAUUUGUAGGUGCUCUUUUCAUAUUAAUGACACCAACCCUUUGUUGUAUGUAUUGCAAAUAUCUUCUCCAAGUUAGCAUUUCAAUGUAUUGAAGGUAGCUUUUAAUUUACCAAGUACCAGUCAAGGGUUUUUUGUUUGUUUGUUUGCAUGUUUGUUUUAGAUUUGAUAAGAAAUAUUAGCCCCAAUUUUAAGAAGAUUUAAGUGUUCCCUGUACUAAUUAUGUUUGAUUUUUAAAAUCAACACAGUGAAAGAUGCUGAUACAUUUUUACUCUGACUUUUUUUCUGUUAGCAUUCCUAAUCAGCACCAGGAAUUAACUCAAUCUUUCUUGGGAUGGACCAGAUCAGAUAUACUUAGCAGGGUUAGUAUUUUCCUCACAUUAUAUUGUUUGUCUUAAAAUUGAUGCCUCUGUUAAAGACUUUCAAGUUACUUUAAGUUCCUUUUUGGAAAUUAGAAAACAAUCUAGUUGCAUCACCAUUGCACUUAAAAACUAUCAGUAAGGUUAGCCAUUUUCAAAGAUAUCUAGAAGAAACCAAUCUUGUCAUAUUCAUCUCCAGUAUAGAAAAUUACAUAUUAUCUUUUUAAAAAGUGGGAUCUAAUUAAACUAAAGAACGUCUGCACAGCAAAAGCAACUAUCAAUAGAGUAAAAAAAACAACCAACAGAAUGGGAGGAAAUAUUUGCAAACUAUGCAUCUGACAAAAGCAUAUCAUCUACAAUCUAUAAGGAACUUAAAUCGACAAGAAAUAAAGAAUCCCACUAAAAAACGGCAAAGACUAUCCACAAUAGCAAAGACAUGGAAUCCACCUAGACGCCCAUCAACAGUGGACUGGAUAAGGAAAAGGUGGUACAUAUACCCCAUGGAAUACUAUGCAGCUAUAAAUAAAUGAGAUCAUGUCCUUUGCAGCAACAUGGAUGUAGCUGGAGGCCCUAAUCCUAAGCAAAUUAACUCAGGAACAGAAAACCAAAUACCACAUGUUCUUAUUUAUAAGUGGGAGCUAAACCUUGAGUACACAUGGACACAAAGGGAACGACAGACACUGGGACCUAUUUGAGGGUAAAGGGUGGGAGGAGAAUAAAAACUGAAAAACUACCUAUCAGGUAUUAUGUUGAUUACCUGGGUGACAAAAUUAUCAGUACACCAAACCCCCAGGACAUUCAAUUAAUCCAUGUAACAAACCUGCACAUGUAUACCUUGAACCCAAAAUAAGAGUUGGAAACAAAAAUAUGGGCAAAGGACAUGAACAGAUACUUCUCAAAGGAAGAUAUACAUGCAGCCAGUUAGCAUGUGAAAAAGUGCUUAACAUCACUAAUCAUUAGAGAAAUGCAAAUCAAAACCACAAUGAGAUACCAUCAUAUACCAGUCAGAAUUAUUAUUAUUAUUAAAAAAUCAGAAAAUAACAGAUGUUGGCAAAGUUGUGGAGAAAAGAGAACACUUAUACACUGCUGGUGGGAAUGUAAAUCAAUUUAGCCACUGUGGAAAGCAAUUUGGGAAUUUCUCAAAGAACUUAAAAUAGAACUACUGUUUGACCCAGCAAUCCCAUUACUUGCAAUAUACCCAAAAAAAUAUAAAUCAGUCUACCAAAAAGACACGUGCACUUACAUGUUUAUCACAGCACUAUUCACAAUAGCAAAGACAUGGAAUCAACCUAAAUGCCCAUUGAUGGUGGACUGGAUAAAAAGAAUGUGGUACAUAUACACCAUGGAAUACUAUGCAGCUAUAAAUAUAUGAGAUCAUGUCCUUUGCAGCAACAUGGAUGCAGCUGGAAGCCAUUAUCUUAAGCAAAUUGAUGCAGAACAGCAAACCAAAUACCACAUAUUCUCACUUAUAAGUGGGAGCUAAAUACUGAGUACACAUGGACAAAAAGGGAGGAACAAUAGACACCGGAGCCCACUUGAGGCUGGAGGGUGAAAGGAGGGUGAGAACUGAAAAACUACCUAUCAAGUAUUAUGCUCACUACCUGGGUGAUGAAAUCAUUUGUACACCAAAUCUCAGUGACACAUAAUUUACUCAUAAAAAACCUGCACAUCUACUGCUGAAUCUAAACUAAAACUCAAAAAAGAAGAAAAAAUAAAGAAAAUUCUAUUCAUGCAUCGGAUUUCAUUCACCAUCAUGCACUAAAAAAAAAAAAAAACUACUGCAGCUAGAAGAAAAAUAAAGUUAGAUCCCUACCUCACACCAUAUAAAACCAUUAAUUCCUGAUAGAGUGAAGUUCUACAAGGACAAAUAAAACAAUAUAAAACGAAAAUACAAAACAUUUUCAUAACAUUUUUGGGAGGCCUUCCUAGUAAACAAGGAUGAAAGUCAGAAACCCCAAAGGAAAGAGAGCAAAAAUAUCCAACAACAUUUUUAAUUUUUUAGGGUUCAAUCUUCUUAUCAGCCCAAUUAAAAGUGAAUAAGCAAUAAGGACACUUACCCAACCAAAAAAAAACAAAGUAGGAUAGAUGCUGAAUGGGUUAACUUGAAUUUUAUUAUGUCAUUGAAGACCCAGGCUCUAUCUUGGUACUCCGCCAUCCUCAGCUCUUUGGCUUUUGGCCUUGGGCUUGUCCCAAGAUGCUGUCGCUGCUGCAACCCUCACAUCCCUGCUCAACAGUGUCCAGAGGCAAAAGAAGGAAAGGCAGUACCCCUCAGAUCCCUUUGGAAAGUGUGAAACUGACUCAUAGGCUUUCCUUCUCAGAAACCCCCCAUAGGUUUCCCUUCACAUCUCUAUGGCCACAAUUCCAUCACAAGACUGUGCCUAAACCUCAGAAUGAGUAGGAGUGGGAUAACUACCAUUGGCUUAAACUAAUCAAGAUUCACCCUCUGGGACUGGGGAGAAGCCCAUCUUCCCACAGCCCUGAAACUCAUGGCUGACCCUGUUAGCAAGGAAGAGGGAGGAAUGGCUGUUGGGUAAGCAACCCACAGUUCCUAUUGUGGAUAAUAUAAAAUCCCCUCUUGAACAUAAACAAAUAAUUACUGAGUUUAGGAUAUGUGCCAAGCAGCCUUCUGAACUUCAUAGACCAGUACAAGAGUCAGCAAACUUUUUGCGUACAAGGGCACAUGACAAAUAUUUUAGGCUUUGAGGGUCAUUUGUUCUCUUGCACAGCUACUCAACUCUGCUGCCAUAGCUCAAAAGCAGUCGUAGACGAUACGCAAACAAACAGGCAUAGCCAUGCUCCAAUAAAACUUUCUAAAAAUAGGUGGCAGGACAGAUUUUCACCCAAGGGCUGUAGUUUGUGAAUCCCUCGUCCAGUGGAAAGAUAAGCAAGUAAGUCAAUAUCUCACACUUGCUGCAGACAUGUUUUAUUUGGCCAACCCAGAGUUUAAGCAAGAUAUGCACUGUCUGAUUGACCACAGUCUCCACUAUUCCCUAUUGUCUUACACCAUGCCACUUUUCACAUUUACUGCCAUUAUUCCUGGGUAAAAGAAAAGGCUGUUUCACUCAGAGUUCUGGGAAACAUCCACUUGCUUAUUUAUGGCAUCUCUAGCGGCAGAUUUUUGUACAUAAACUUCAUUAACAAAUGCCAUGUAAUGAAACUGUUCCACUAUGACCCUUGGUAUACGUUGGUACUACAGUACCAAACAUACAUACUGUCUUUCUAAUAAAUUUCAUGAAGUUAUUUAGGCACUGAUUUUCUAAGCAUGCAGUGUAGAGGAGCCCUGUACUAAUUCUUUCUCUGAAGUGAUCAGCAGUGGUCCCUGUUGACAAGCUCAGUGGUAACCCAAUCUCUGUAUUCUGCUGACAAGCUACACUCCCGUGGUUUAUGAGAUCAGUGGAAUCCCUCCAUAGAAUUAUACCCUUUUAUUGAGUCCUGAACCAUAUAUUAUCAUGAAUGCUAAGCCAGUCGAAAUGGUCCAUCCCCUCUGCCUUAACAUUAGACAAAGCCUUGAGCAAUUACCCUUCUCUGCAGAGAAUGUCCUUUAUUUGGCAUCAAAUCCUGCUGAAACUUUAUGUGCCUGGGCCUCCUGCACUUUAUCUCCAGGCUCCAAGCCGAGCUGCCCUUAACUGGCAUCGGAGUCCGAGGCCAUUUGGACAAGGACCUUGAGGAAGUUGAAUGUCUCCCUUUCCAUAAAGAAAGAAUUAGCAAAGAAAAUUAAAAGUGUGCGCUCAAUUUCAGAGGAAAUGAUUAUACCCCUGACAAAGAGUAGCAGCCUUCAGGGGAUGUCAAGCACUUGGAAAGCAUGCUUUCCACCCACAAGGAGCCAAGUAGUGUACCUAAGCCUCCCCAGAAAAUGAUGCUUUCUUAAAUGCUUCAAAACAAGGAGACAUUCAUUCAACAAACAUUUCUUCAGCAUCUGCUCUGUGUCAGAUACUGUGCUAGGCACCACAGAUGCAACAGGGAAUGGAAAAGCCCAGAAUUGACAGUGUGUUGCAUGUUAAAGAAGGGCUCACACCUGUAAUCCCAGCACUUUGGGAGGCUGAAGCAGGAGGAUCACUUGAGGCCAGGUAAGUGACCAGCCUGGACAACAUAGUGAGACCCCAUCUCUACAAAAAAUACAAAAAUUAGCUGGGCGAGGUGGCAUAUGCCUGUAGCCCCAGCUACUCAGGAGGCUGAGGUGGAAGGAUCACUUGAGUCUGGGAGGUCAAGGCUGCAGUAAGCCCUGAUCAUGCCACUGCACCCUAGGCUGGGCAACAGAGUGAGACCCUGUCUCAAAAAAAUAAAAAUAAUUUUUAAAAGGGAGCUGGGAGCAGACAGUAAACAAGUCACCAAGUCUGUGACAUGAAAGUAAGUUGUCAUAAGUGACAUGGAGGGAAAAAACAAAGUGCUGUGUGUGUUAAUUUGCUGUUGCUGUUCUCACACAUUACCACAAAUUGGGUGGCUUAACACAACAGAAAUGUAUCCUCUCACUGUUCCGGAGGCCAGAAAUCUAAAAUAUAGGUGUCAGUAGCGCCAUGCUCCCUCCAAAGCUCCAGGUGGCUGCAGGCACUCCCAGGCUUAUGGCUGCACCACUCUAUCCUCUGCCUCCAAUGCCACACAGCCUUCUCCUCUCCCCAGGUGUUUCUCUUCUGUUUGUCUCUUGUAAGAACAUGUGUCAUUGCAUUUAAAGCCCACUCAAAUAAUCCAGGAUGAUCUUAUCUCAAGAUCCUUAAUUGAAUUGAAUCUACAAAGACCCUUUCUCUCCAAUAAGGUCACAUUCAUAGGUUCCAGCAAGUAGAGAUAUCUUUUGGCAGCACCAUUCAACUCACUACAUUGUAGGAGAUAAUAAAUAAUGGGGUAGCUUACUUUAGGUGGAGGGGUCAGAAAAGGCCUCUGAGAAGGUAAGACUUAAGACACAACUUGAAGAAUGAGGAAGAUCACAACAUGCAGAGAAGGGGAGAACUGGGCAUAGGGAGAAAGCGUUGCUGACCGAGGGCACAGUCUGUGCAAAGGCCCCGAAACCAGCUGAGUUUACAAAAACUGAAAAAAAGGCCAGUGUGGCAAGAGCAGAGCGAAUAAAAUGGCCUGAGAUGUGCUGGGAACGUGAGCAGAGGCCUGUCCUGAAAGCUUUGGAAGCCACAGUAAGAAGCUGGCAUUUUGCAGCCAGGAGCAGUGCCUCAUGCUGAAAUCCUAGCACCUUGGGAGGCCAAGGUGGGCGGAUUGCUUGAGGCCAGGAGUUCAAGACCAGCCUGAGCAACACAGCGAGACCUUGUCUCUACAGAAAAUAUUUUUUUAGCAUUUUUUUAAUUUUUUUUUAAAUACAAGCAGCUGGCAUUUUACCUCAAGUGCAAGGGAAAGGCACUGAGGGUUUGAAGCAUAAAAAUAACAUGAGGAAAUUCACAUUUCAUCACGAAGGUUUUUCAAAUAGCAUAGCUAGCCUUCAUUUAAACCAGAAAUUAUUGCUUUUACUGUAGCUUUAGCAAUAACAAAUGCAUAGAAUCAUUUACCCUGUUAUAUGCAUGAAUUCAUUUAAUAAAAUGUAUAUAUAGUGCUCAUUUUGGCACCACAUAUACUAAAAUUGGAACAAUACAGAGAAAAUUAGCAUGACCCCUGUGCAAGGAUGACACAAAAAUUCAUGAAGCAUGACAUUAAAAAAAUAUAUAUAUACAAUAACCCAAAUACAAGCUAGGGCACCAUGUGGUCCAGAGUAUACCUGUGUUGUGGACUGAAUUAUGUCUGCCCAACAAAAAAUCCUGAAUUGUAGUCCUAGCCCCAGAAUCUCAGGUGUGACCUUAUUUGAGAAUAGGGUUAUUCCAAAUGUAACUAACUCAGAUGAAGUCAUACCAGAGUAGGGUGGGCCCCUAACCCAAUAUGUCUGGUGUGAGAAAUUUGGACACAAGCAUGCAUACAGAGAGCACUCCACAUGAACAUGAAGAUGGCCAUCUACACACCAAGGAGAGAGCCCUGGAACAGAGCCUGCCCUCACAGCCCUCAGAAGGAAACAGCCUCACGGAUGCUUUGACCUUCAACUUCCAGCCUCCAGAACUGUAAGACAAUAAAUUUCUGUUGUUUAAGGCAUCCAGUCUGUGGCACUUUGUUAUGGCAGUCCUAGCAGACUAACACAGUCUGAUAACACUUUAGGAAGCGAGGUCUUCCUAAAUGUGAGCAAUUCCAGUCUUUACCAGCACCCCUGCUAGAACACCGAAGGGGGUCUAAUUCACAGCCCAUACCAACACCUAAUCAAGCCAUCUUCUCCACUCUUCUCAUUCUCCACUUCUCUUCCCACCCACAGAGCCCCCAGCAGCCUCUUUCCUCAUGCCUGGCCUUGACUAACUCCCCACCAAAACUGCUCCCAAAAUCCUACAAUAAGGUUUUUGAUUCCUUCAUGCCCCACGCCCACUUCCUGGACCUGUUCUGUUUUUCUCUCCAGUGGUUCUUUACUCUCAAGUACUCAUCACCAUCCCCUCUCCCCAAGGAUUACUCCAUCAGAUACAUGGCCUGGGAGCCCUGCCGGGUCCCUUAGCAGACAGAGAGAGACAGAGCCUAAGAAGAGAGACAGAGAGAGAGAAUAUUGAGGCAGGAGUAAAAACACAAUUUUAUAUCUUAUACAUUUCUUUUCACAUGCAAACUUUUAAUGAUAACCUCCAUGAGAACAGAAACUACAUCUUGUACAUUUUGCACCCCCUGUAAUGUGGAGCAGACCACUUUGCAUGAAGGUGACACAGAUUGAUUUUUAAAAUCUUGCCUGAGACCCUGAAUCCUUGCUCUAUGAUCAGGCAUUCUUCCUACACCAUCUAUGAAGUUACUGAGCUGAAACCGUCUCGUCUAGUCUUAAUUAAGCUUUGGCGACAUCUGUCAUGAGUGACUGGUGACAUUUUUCCAUCCACUCAUCACUCCUAAAAAUGGACUCACUCCUGCUAACGAGGAAUCAACAACCUAAGGCGGCCAGGAGCAUAGGUGAGGGAGGGUGCAGGAGGCCUCACAGACAUAUGCAGGGAAGGGGAGGAGUAGCUGCCACAUUGGGACCCUGCUCCCAAAUGCAACUAGCAUAGACAGCAAAAUCCCCUUCUACCAGAAACAUGUUUUGUCGAUCAGACACAAUCCUAAAAAGGAUGGAGUAAAGCAGAAAGGGACAGUGUCUCCAGGGGAAGCCAGGGAAGGCCAAGAUGCUAUGUACUUCAUUAUGGCCUGCAGGAUCCUGAGGGAAGGAACUAUACAUAAUUCAACUUUGUACUUCCUGUCUCCCCUCCAAUCUCUACCUCCAGGCUCCUAGCCUAGGACCUAGCACUCUUUGAAACUGACUGGGUAGUUGGUUGGUUUGUUGGUUGGAUGGUUGGUUGGUUGGAUGGAUGAAUGAGCAACCAAAAUCUCCAUUCCCUUCCUGAGUACUAUUCUUCAGGGAUUUUGCAAAGCCCAUCAUCAACAUCUUAAGCCAAUCUCUACUGCCUUAAGCCAAUCAUCAACGUCUCCGACUAAGAAAGGAAGUUAAAGAUUUCUUAGAAUCCCAGAGUCCCCAAAGAUGCUCAUGAGCUAUCAAAGGGAGCACAUCUAAGGGAUCACUAGAGAAUCUUCUAUAUUAAAACUUUCUAACUUUAUACUUUUUUUUGACCAACUUACUUUUAUCCUAAUGUUUUACAAACUUCAACUACAAACGUUUUUAAGCACUUACUGUGCAUAAGGUCCCAUAAAGCAGUCUUUUCACUUUAAAAGUUAAAGUCUUCAAACUUUUAAGCUCAUGUUACCUCCUAAAGAAUUUUGAUACACUAAGUAAGUCCUUGCACAUUUUUGGUUGACAUCUAAAAUUAACAUAAAUUUAAAUAAUAUGAACGAUGCAAUUCCCACUGUAUUGUAAAUAUUGACAUUUUAUAAAUAAAACUGUUACAUUACUCUUUUAAAUGUUUCCAAUGGAAUCUAAAUACCAUAGUAAUUUGAUACUCACCAUCAGCUAUUUUAAAAAAUACAAGAACAAACUCUUCUUUAUGAGUCAUAAAAUUUUACAUUUUUCCUUUUUCCUCUUUGAAAUCAAAUUUAUUUGUUCUAAUAUAAUUUUGUGCUAGUAAGUCUUUUAUAAUCACAUUGUUAUCCUAAUUCUAUGCAAGAAAAAAAUGUAUAUAAGUUGAAAUUCUAGUUUCCUUUUUACCUCCGGGACCAUUAGGAUCUGAGUGCUAAUAAUUUUCCUCUGGAUUGAAUAUCAUUGUAACCAUUAUUUGUAUACAUUUGAUCAAGGCAAUGUAAACAUAUUACAAAUUUUGGUAUAUGAGUAAUAAACAUAUACAUACAAUCUAUUGAAAACAUAUGUCUUAAUCAGGUUGAGGGGGACAUGGAGGCUUUGCAGACAUCGGUGUUUUGAAUGUCACUGUUUGGUACUUCCAGGGAGAUAGGGCUGGGUCUUUCUUUGUUAAGGUGAAAGAAAAACGUCUGGAAAGAGUAGGAGGCAAAAACAGAACCAGCCUCCACGACAGGCACAUUCUCAGGCAGACGUGUGUUAGCACAGGACACAUAGGGAAUUCCUUUGAAGCCACCUUUGCCCACAUAGCCCUUGGAAAGUUCUCCCAUACCUCCUGGGGUAUCAGUAGCUAAGGUUUGAAGAUGAAAUCAUGAACAAUUCAGGUCAGAACAAGACCCAAUUUCAGUCUGUCAUGAGUUUACAUCUGGGCAGGUAGGUGAGCCAUAAGCACUCCACCUGAGAUGUAUUAACAGUGAGAGAUGGAAAGCACAA
Molecule: long non-coding RNA, 9299 nt
Filed under: Homo sapiens (human)
Lineage: Eukaryota; Metazoa; Chordata; Mammalia; Primates; Hominidae
Source: RNAcentral